UGGAAGCGGAGAGAAACUGCCUGGAACUGGAAGGACUACGUCCACAAAUGCCAAGGGGCGGUGUACAGGAAGUCUGAGUGCUGGCUGCCAGAGGAUUGCGUAGUAGAAGGUGCACAAACCAGGAGAGGACACAACACAGGGGACGGUCAGGAGAACAACCAGGAGCUACAGCCACUGAAUGAGGAAAACACACACAACAUUAACACUAACAAUAUGGAAACACUAAGAACAGCAGGUCUACACCACCAGAACAGUCUGUUCUCUGACCAGCUACGAGGUGAAAACAUAGGAAAGGAUGAAGGAUUUUCAUCCAUCCAAAAAGGUUUUUAACCAGGUGGCUCCAGAAAAACAGCUUUUAUUAAAAAAAAAAA
This is a long non-coding RNA of Monopterus albus (swamp eel), 371 nucleotides long. RefSeq lists it as uncharacterized. The record is from RefSeq and is a predicted model, not a curated record. The transcript has 2 exons. NCBI's taxonomy places the organism in Eukaryota, Metazoa, Chordata, Actinopteri, Synbranchiformes, Synbranchidae.